AUUGAACGCUGGCGGAAUGCUUUACACAUGCAAGUCGAACGGCAGCACGGGUGCUUGCACCUGGUGGCGAGUGGCGAACGGGUGAGUAACAUAUCGGAACGUGCCCAGUAAUGGGGGAUAACUAACCGAAAGGUUAGCUAAUACCGCAUACGCCCGGAGGGGGAAAGCGGGGGAUCGAAAGACCUCGCGGUAUUGGAGCGGCCGAUAUCUGAUUAGCUAGUUGGUAGGGUAAAGGCCUACCAAGGCGACGAUCAGUAGCUGGUCUGAGAGGAUGAUCAGCCACACUGGGACUGAGACACGGCCCAGACUCCUACGGGAGGCAGCAGUGGGGAAUUUUGGACAAUGGGCGAAAGCCUGAUCCAGCCAUUCCGCGUGAGUGAAGAAGGCCUUCGGGUUGUAAAGCUCUUUCGGCAGGAACGAAACGCUCUAGAUUAAUACUCUGGGGUAAUGACGGUACCUGAAGAAGAAGCACCGGCUAACUACGUGCCAGCCGCCGCCGUAA
This 502-nucleotide ribosomal RNA is filed under the name uncultured bacterium. RNAcentral's name for it is "partial 16S ribosomal RNA". It matches the Rfam family "Bacterial small subunit ribosomal RNA", at positions 30 to 523 of the family's 1533-position model. The record is from RNAcentral.